GAGAUUGAAGCUGGAAGAGAGGUAGAGGAGGAAAGAUUGAAGCUAGAAGAGAGGUAGAGGAAGAGAGAUUGAAGCUGGAUGAUGGCUGGCUCAGGGUCUUGAAGGAGCAGGACCAGGCAUUGUGGGGACAGAGUGAGAAGUUUGGAUGUGGAGACUAGAGCUGAUUGUUACUGGGGUGGGGAAUGCCCAAAAGGAUAGAGAAGAUGCCUGGGAAACUGCCCAGCUGAUAGGAUGGUGAAAUACUAGACCAGAAGAAUGUGCCUCUGCUGUUCCUAUUUCCUUUGCUUGUGUUGUUGAUGAAAGGAAUGGGAAAAAAAGAAACAAGAACAAACCUCUCAAAGGAUUCCACUUUAUAGGAUCAUUCUGAAGAAAGUGCUUUACCAACCCUCAAUUGUUUUAUAAAUAAAAAUGAAUUGUAAUUUUUAUAAAUAAAAAAAUUUUAAUGCAAA
Vombatus ursinus (common wombat) is the source of this 449-nucleotide long non-coding RNA. RefSeq lists it as uncharacterized. Lineage: Eukaryota; Metazoa; Chordata; Mammalia; Diprotodontia; Vombatidae. The transcript has 3 exons. The record is from RefSeq and is a predicted model, not a curated record.